UACGGAGGGUGCGAGCGUUGUCCGGAAUCAUUGGGCGUAAAGGGCGCGUAGGUGGCUUCUUAAGCGUGCGGUGAAAGCCUGGGGCUCAACCCCGGGUCGGCCGUGCGAACUGUCGAGCUGGAGCACUGUAGAGGCAGGUGGAAUUCCGGGUGUAGCGGUGGAAUGCGUAGAGAUCCGGAAGAACACCGGUGGCGAAGGCGGCCUGCUGGGCAGUGGCUGACGCUGAGGCGCGACAGCGUGGGGAGCAAACAGG
Molecule: ribosomal RNA, 253 nt
Filed under: uncultured bacterium
Lineage: Bacteria
Description: partial 16S ribosomal RNA
Rfam family: Bacterial small subunit ribosomal RNA
Source: RNAcentral